CCUGACGCAGCGACGCCGCGUGGGCGACGAAGGUCUUCGGAUCGUAAAGCCCUUUUCUAGAGGAUGAGGAAGGACAGUACUCUAGGAAUAAGUCUCGGCUAACUACGUGCCAGCAGCCGCGGUAAAACGUAGGAGGCGAGCGUUAUCCGGAUUUAUUGGGCGUAAAGCGCGUGCAGGCGGUGCGCUAAGUUGGACGUGAAAUCUCCCGGCCCAACUGGGAGGGGCCGUUCAAUACUGGUGCACUUGAGGGCAGGAGAGGGAAGUGGAAUUCCCGGUGUAGCGGUGGAAUGCGUAGAUAUCGGGAGGAACACCCGUGGCGAAGGCGGCUUCCUGGUCUGUUCCUGACGCUGAGACGCGAAAGCUAGGGGAGCAAACGGGAUUAGAUACCCCGGUAGUCCUAGCUGUAAACGAUGGAUACUAGGUGUUGGUGGUAUUGACCCCAUCAGUGCCGUAGCUAACGCGUUAAGUAUCCCGCCUGGGGAGUACGACCGCAAGGUUAAAACUCAAAUGAAUUGACGG
This 519-nucleotide ribosomal RNA is filed under the name uncultured bacterium. RNAcentral describes it as "bacterial SSU rRNA". It matches the Rfam family "Bacterial small subunit ribosomal RNA", at positions 382 to 916 of the family's 1533-position model. The record is from RNAcentral.